This 500-nucleotide ribosomal RNA is filed under the name uncultured spirochete MT53. Its description in RNAcentral is "bacterial SSU rRNA". It matches the Rfam family "Bacterial small subunit ribosomal RNA", at positions 564 to 1063 of the family's 1533-position model. Lineage: Bacteria; Pseudomonadati; Spirochaetota; Spirochaetia; Spirochaetales. The record is from RNAcentral.
AGGGCUCGUAGGCGGCCUGCCAAGUCCCACGUGAAAGACCAGGGCUCAACCCUGGGAACGCGAGGGAAACUGGUAAGCUGGAAUCUUGGAGGGGGUACUGGAAUUCCUAGUGUAGGGGUGAAAUCUGUUGAUAUUAGGAAGAACACCGGAGGCGAAGGCGAGUACCUGGCCAAAGAUUGACGCUGAUGAGCGAAAGCGUAGGGAGCAAACAGGAUUAGAUACCCUGGUAGUCUACGCCGUAAACGAUGUGCACUUGGUGGCGGUCCCGUCCGGGAUCGCUGCCCGUAGCUAACGCGUUAAGUGCACCGCCUGGGGAGUACGCCGGCAACGGUUAAACUCAAAGGAAUUGACGGGGCCCGCACAAGCGGUGGAGCAUGUGGUUUAAUUCGAUGAUACGCGAGGAACCUUACCAGGGCUUGACAUAUACCUGACGUUCGUAGAGAUACGGAUUUCCUUUCGGGACGUGUAUACAGGUGUUGCAUGGCUUGUCGUCAGCUCGU